This 1612-nucleotide long non-coding RNA is filed under the name Marmota monax (woodchuck). The record is from RNAcentral. Lineage: Eukaryota; Metazoa; Chordata; Mammalia; Rodentia; Sciuridae.
AGAAUUGUCUAUAUCGAAAACCCAGUGGGGUCUAGAGAGAAGCUAAAAAUAAGUGAAUCUAGUAAGUAUGCAAGAUACAGGAUCGAUAUACCAAAAUCCAUUGAGAUUCCACAGGCUAGCAGCACACAAUGCUAUGUGAAGUACAAAUAUGAAACACCUAGGCUCUCCUGUCCCCCAUGUUGGUGGGUCAAGGUGAAGAGGCGAAGCCGUCUGCACGUUUGUGGAGAGAGUGGAGACAGAACUACCCCGCAGCCAGGGUGUAGGAGCAGCCCACAGGCCCGACACUGUGUUUCCCGAACGCCGACAUGUCUGAUCCCUGGGCCUCGGGAGCAGUGGAAAGUCACGGCUCGCUGCACAGUCCCGGGACCAAAGCAGAAGAAAUCCUGGAGCAAGGUCGAAGUACGCAGGAGAACUGAGAAAAAUCACCCUCAGCUGCGGGGCGCUUGGGUCUUGAGAUCCAGAACCACAUUAAUCUGGGCAUCAAGGAUGACCAAGCCUCCAUGGGCACAGCUCUGUGUGUGCUGGGCAGGCAGCGCCCAGCGGCUCAGGAGGAAGAGGGGUUCGGGCUGCACUGGGCCCGAACACAGGGAGCCUCUCGCUGCUUCCCGCAGAAGAACGGAGGCCUCCCCGCAGCUGCAGAUAGAAUCCAUCUCUGUCAGGUAGACGCCAGAAAGGUUUCCAGUGAAGUAUUAAAAAAGAAAAGGAAGAAAGAAAAAACUGAAGUGAAAAGAAAGAAGAGGAAAGGGAAAGAUGGGACCAGACCGAAGGCUCAUGAAAACUGUGAACCAAGGACAUCUGAGAGACCUGUCUUGUUUGUGUUUUGAUAUUGCUGUCAGUUUCCCCAUUUUAUUUUAUAGAUUUAACAUACUCUCAACCAACAUCAUACUAGACUAUUGGGUCAGAGAUUGACAAGCUGAUUCUGAAACUCACACGGAAAUUCAAAGACCUAGCCUAGCCAUGUGACAGUCACUUUUCAAGCCAGAAGUGCAGAGAGAGAGGGAGGGAGGGAGGCAGACAGACAGACAGACCACGGCGUCUCCCAAGACCCAGCACGAGAGAGUCCACACUCCAGUCCACCAUGGGGCAUCACCCCCAUUGAAAGCCCUUUGGAAAAGACUGGUAAGUGGCGUGUGAGUCACACUGGAACUCAAGGCAAAAAUAUUGAUAUUUGAGCUGAGUCUCGAGUUCUUCCAGAAGAACAGAUGUCUAUUAGCUUAAAAAUGUCCGGCUACCCCCUUUGGCCUGUGGCAAGCCCGUCCCAGCCACUGCAGGGCCCAGGGCAGGAGCAUUAAUGGAAGCAUAGACAAGGUGCAGCUGGAUACUUGACGCCCCCUCCACUUCUCUCUUUCCUUCCCACUCGGAACUGUUUGAAAAACCAUUAAACGUUAAUCAGUAAAACUGGAGGGGGUGGUAGCCCACACUGUUACCCAGCCAUUGGGGAGGCUGUGGCAUGAGGAUUGCAAGUUAGAGGCCAGUCUGCCCAAUUUAAGGAGACCUUGUACCAAAAUAAAAUAAGAACUGGGAUGCCACUCAGUGGUAGGGUGCUUGCCUAGCAUGUGUGAAGUCCUGGGUUCAAUCCUUGGUACUGCAAAAAAAUCAAUAAAACUGAUAG